This 253-nucleotide ribosomal RNA is filed under the name uncultured bacterium. Its description in RNAcentral is "partial 16S ribosomal RNA". It matches the Rfam family "Bacterial small subunit ribosomal RNA", at positions 524 to 776 of the family's 1533-position model. The record is from RNAcentral.
AACGUAGGUGGCGAGCGUUAUCCGGAUUUACUGGGCGUAAAGCAUGUGCAGACGGAUUGGUAAGUGGUGUAUGAAAGCGUCCGGCUUAACCGGGCAAGGGUAUGCCAGACUGCCAGUCUUGAGAGUGGGAGAGGGAUGUGGAAUUCCGGGUGUAGUGGUGAAAUGCGUAGAGAUCCGGAGGAACCCCAGAGGCGAAGGCGGCGUCCUGGCCCAUUUCUGACGUUCAGACAUGACAGCAUGGGGAGCGAACGGG